This is a non-coding RNA of Vicia faba (fava bean), 219 nucleotides long. The record is from the annotation of a GenBank genome assembly. Lineage: Eukaryota; Viridiplantae; Streptophyta; Magnoliopsida; Fabales; Fabaceae.
AUGUCGGUCAAUACUAACACCACAAUAUGUCUUACGACGAAAGUAUUUAAUGCAUUCAUUCUAGAGAAUAACAAUGUCCGAUCAAAGACCUCCACAUCUUCAAAAUCCUUAACCGUGCAAAAACACAUAUCACAAACCCUUAUCUCGCAAAACAAGAGACAAGAGUUUGAGAAGAACUGUUUUAUGCAUCCGCGGGGCCAAAGAUACAAACUCCAAUAA